This 253-nucleotide ribosomal RNA is filed under the name uncultured Eubacteriales bacterium. RNAcentral's name for it is "uncultured Clostridiales bacterium partial 16S ribosomal RNA". It matches the Rfam family "Bacterial small subunit ribosomal RNA", at positions 524 to 776 of the family's 1533-position model. Lineage: Bacteria; Bacillati; Bacillota; Clostridia; Eubacteriales. The record is from RNAcentral.
UACGUAGGGGGCAAGCGUUAUCCGGAUUCACUGGGUGUAAAGGGAGCGUAGACGGCCAGGCAAGCCUGGAGUGAAAGCCCGGGGCCCAACCCCGGGACUGCUCUGGGAACUGUCCGGCUGGAGUGCAGGAGAGGUAAGCGGAAUUCCUAGUGUAGCGGUGAAAUGCGUAGAUAUUGGGAGGAACACCAGUGGCGAAGGCGGCCUGCUGGACAUUAACUGACGCUGAGGCGCGAAAGCGUGGGGAGCAAACAGG